RNAcentral lists this ribosomal RNA (754 nucleotides) under Colletotrichum sp. UFMGCB_611. Its description in RNAcentral is "eukaryotic LSU rRNA". The stretch from base 253 to 409 matches the Rfam family "5.8S ribosomal RNA". The record is from RNAcentral. Lineage: Eukaryota; Fungi; Ascomycota; Sordariomycetes; Glomerellales; Glomerellaceae.
UUUAGAGGAAGUAAAAGUCGUAACAAGGUCUCCGUUGGUGAACCAGCGGAGGGAUCAUUACUGAGUUACCGCUCUAUAACCCUUUGUGAACAUACCUACAACUGUUGCUUCGGCGGGUAGGCCGUCCCCUGAAAAGGACGCCUCCCGGCCCGGACCGGACCCCCCCGCGGGACCGGACCCGGCGCCCGCCGGAGGAUAACCAAACUCUAUUGUAACGACGUUUCUUCUGAGUGGCAUAAGCAAAAUAAUCAAAACUUUUAACAACGGAUCUCUUGGUUCUGGCAUCGAUGAAGAACGCAGCGAAAUGCGAUAAGUAAUGUGAAUUGCCGAAUUCAGGUGAAUCAUCGAAUCUUUGAACGCACCAUUGCGCCCGCCCAGCAUUCUGGCGGGCAUGCCUGUUCGAGCGUCAUUUCAACCCUCAAGCUUCUGGCUUGGUUGUUGGGGCUCUACGGUCGACGUAGGCCCUCAAAGGUAGUGGCGGACCCUCCCGGGAGCCUCCUUUGCGUAGUAACAUUUCGUCUCGCACUGGGAUCCGGAGGACUCUUGCCGUAAAACCCCCCAAUUUUCCAAAGGUUGACCUCGGAUCAGGUAGGAAUACCCGCUGAACUUAAGCAUAUCAAUAAGCGGAGGAAAAGAAACCAACAGGGAUUGCCCCAGUAACGGCGAGUGAAGCGGCAACAGCUCAAAUUUGAAAUCUGGCCCCAGGCCCGAGUUGUAAUUUGCAGAGGAUGCUUUUUGGCGCGGUGCCUUCCGA